Molecule: ribosomal RNA, 460 nt
Filed under: uncultured bacterium
Lineage: Bacteria
Description: partial 16S ribosomal RNA
Rfam family: Bacterial small subunit ribosomal RNA
Source: RNAcentral
CCUACGGGUGGCAGCAGUGAGGAAUAUUGGUCAAUGGACGAGAGUCUGAACCAGCCAAGUCGCGUGAAGGAUGACUGCCCUAUGGGUUGUAAACUUCUUUUAUAAAGGAAUAAAACGAGGCACGUGUGCCUUUUUGCAUGUACUUUAUGAAUAAGGAUCGGCUAACUCCGUGCCAGCAGCCGCGGUAAUACGGAGGAUCCGAGCGUUAUCCGGAUUUAUUGGGUUUAAAGGGAGCGUAGAUGGGUUGUUAAGUCAGUUGUGAAAGUUUGCGGCUCAACCGCAAAAUUGCAAUUGAUACUGGCAGUCUUGAGUACAGUUGAGGUAAGCGGAAUUCGUGGUGUAGCGGUGAAAUGCUUAGAUAUCACGAAGAACCCCGAUUGCGAAGGCAGCUUACUAAACUGUGACUGACAUUGAUGCUCGAAAGUGUGGGUAGCAAACAGGAUUAGAUACCCGAGUAGUC